UACAGAGGUCCCGAGCGUUGUUCGGAUUCACUGGGCGUAAAGGGUGCGUAGGUGGCGAAGUAAGUCGGAUGUGAAAGCUCGGAGCUCAACUCCGAAAUGGCAUUGGAAACUACUUGGCUAGAGGUUUGGAGGGGGGACUGGAAUGCUUGGUGUAGCAGUGAAAUGCGUAGAUAUCAAGCGGAACACCAGUGGCGAAGGCGAGUCCCUGGACAACACCUGACACUGAGGCACGAAAGCUAGGGGAGCAAACAGG
RNAcentral lists this ribosomal RNA (253 nucleotides) under uncultured bacterium. Its description in RNAcentral is "partial 16S ribosomal RNA". It matches the Rfam family "Bacterial small subunit ribosomal RNA", at positions 524 to 776 of the family's 1533-position model. The record is from RNAcentral.